Thunnus maccoyii (southern bluefin tuna) is the source of this 1589-nucleotide long non-coding RNA. RefSeq lists it as uncharacterized. The record is from RefSeq and is a predicted model, not a curated record. The transcript has 3 exons. Lineage: Eukaryota; Metazoa; Chordata; Actinopteri; Scombriformes; Scombridae.
CAUCGGCAAUCUGCCACGGUGAGUUGGAAAUAUCGGCAUAUCGGAUAUCGGCAAAAAAUCAAAUAUCGUGUAUCCCUAGUUUCAUUGGAUUUGUGUGUCUUAUAGACUCGACUUAAACAGCUGUCAGUUGAUCAACACCUGAUUAUAAAGUGGAUCAGAUGUAUAUGGAAAACUGAGAGAUUCUGUAAACCAUAAAAGAAUUGCCAAAGAGAAUUGCACCCUUAUAGUGGUGGCAGAGUUUGAUGUGCCUGUAUUCUAGGAGUUAUGUUAGUGGGGGGCAAUAGGUCCUGGUAGGGUUUCCAAGGACCAGACCAGGAGUGACUAAAAAAAUCCUUAUUGAUUGGCCAAUAAGUGAGAGAGCAAUUUUGUGUGGAAAAGGAAAACCGGGACCCUCUUCUAGUGCAAGCCCUGAGAGGGGCCUGGAGGCCACAUCAGUACCUAUCUGGCCCAGCAUUGCCAGUCGGAUAGUGGAUGCAGGUAAAGGCCUUGGCGUUCAGAUCCCAGACCACCUUCCCAUUCACUUGAAUGAGAAAGUGUGUCCAAACAUUUGAGUGGUACUGUAGGUCUGCUGGUCUCAUUAAACCAUGACCUUCUCCAAGUACUUGGUUUAUUUCUAAACGUCCACUGGCACAGUUCCUCCAGUGACACGGACAUACAAACAAGCUGCUGUAUGUUUUUUUUAAGUGAUGUACUUAUUUUCAGGAUCUCAGAAUUCGGAAUAUUUACUGAUUUUUAGUUUUUAUCCUGAGUACUUUUUAUCACAGUAUUUUUGAGAUGUAUGAUGUGUUGUAAUGUUGAAUUAUUUGGUACUGUACAACAGCAGCAUUGUGUGUCCAAGGCAAAUUUCUCUCUGGGACAAUAAAGACUUAUCUUAUUUGUAGCCAAGUGUGGUGGUUGAGAGUCCAAGAGGCUGUAAAACGCUAAAUUAUCUCUUCUGGGUCUGGAGUUUCCCCAGUGAGGAGGUUCAAGUAUCUUGGGGUCUUGUUAGACUAACAGAUGACUGGUUGCAGUGAGCAACAAGGAUGUGGUAGGUAAAAAAAAAAAAAAGGGGAACAGAGUUGUUGUUUUUUUCAUAUUGUGAGCCAGUUAACCAAAUUUAUUUUUCUACUUUUUCUUUUUGAUGAAGGUGGUACCAUGAAGAAUGACAAAUUAAUCUCUAACAUUAUUUUUAAAUAUUUUUUUGUUAAUACAUUACUUUUAAGAGAAUACUGUAACUCAUAACUGAGGUAAUAAUUUAUGAAAUGCAUGUGACACUGCUUUUCAGAUUCCUUCCGCUAACUUACCUUUUGAUCCUGAGUGGAAGUUUUGUGAACGCUGCACCAGAUCAUUCCUGCUGAUCAUUUCUAAAACCUUCAUGGUUACCUGCAGAGCUCCAGGAUCCUGAUAUUUCUGUCCCAUUGGAUCCACUGUGAGGUCUAAAACAAGAUCCACUGUACGUGUCCUUGCUGCUUUCUCCAGCUGAGCCACUGGGAUGCCUUUAGAGCCCUCCAGGAUGUCAUCCUGCUCCAGGAGUUCAUGAAUGGUCAGCUGAUAACGUUGGACGCUGAGAGGAGCUGUUUGGCCUGCGAAAACCUGAAGGCAAAAUAAUA